CGGGGUGUACCUCAACCUGGUAGAGGGCCUGCUUUGGGAGCAGGACGUUGAGCGUUCGAAUCGCUCCAUCCCGA
RNAcentral lists this transfer RNA (74 nucleotides) under Polyangiaceae bacterium. RNAcentral describes it as "tRNA-Pro". It matches the Rfam family "tRNA". Rfam says of the family: Transfer RNA (tRNA) molecules are approximately 80 nucleotides in length. Their secondary structure includes four short double-helical elements and three loops (D, anti-codon, and T loops). Lineage: Bacteria; Pseudomonadati; Myxococcota; Polyangiales; Polyangiaceae. The record is from RNAcentral.